This 516-nucleotide ribosomal RNA is filed under the name Triticum aestivum (bread wheat). RNAcentral's name for it is "partial small subunit ribosomal RNA". Lineage: Eukaryota; Viridiplantae; Streptophyta; Magnoliopsida; Poales; Poaceae. The record is from RNAcentral.
AUGGCGACCCUCUCCAUGGUCUCCGGCCCCGUAGCCACCUCGUCCCUCCCCCUUUCCACCCGCCGCCGCGCCUCCUCCGUCUCCUUCCCCGCCCCCAAGAAGGGCGGCAUUGGCCAUGGUGGCCUGCGGAUCGAGUGCAUCCGUAUCGGUGGUGUUGAGAUCCCAAACCACAAGAGGGUGGAGUACUCGCUGCAGUACAUCCAUGGCAUCGGACGGAAUCGCUCCCGCCAGAUCCUUUUGGACCUCAGUUUUGAUAACAAGGUCACCAAGGACCUCUCCGAGGAGGAGGUCAUCACGCUCCGAAAGGAGGUCACCAAGUACAUGAUUGAAGGAGACCUUAAACGGUUCAACCGUGUGGCAAUCGAGAGGAUGAAGGAGAUCCGGUGCUACAAGGGCAUCCGGCACAAGCUCGGCCUCCCGGUCCGUGGCCAGAGGACAAAGAACAACUGCAGGACACUCAAGGGGAAGAGGGCUUCCGUCGCCAAGAAGAAGUCGGCUUCGUCCUCCGACGAAUAA